UUCCUGAAACAAUGAAAACGAGAAUGAAAUUAGAAUACUCUCUAACAAUAUGCACACCAAAAAACCCUCUAAAUACUUUAAAGACCUAAAUGUAAGGGCAGAUACUAUAAAACUCUUGAGGAAAAUAUAGACAGAACACACUCUGAACAGCAAUUAAAAAAAAUACAUCUCUUAGAAUCAUGAAAUGUAAGCCAAAAAGAAACAAAUGGGACAUAAUAAACCUUAAAAGCAUGUGCACAGCAAAGAACACCAAAGAAGAAAGAAAAGGACAACCCUGAGAAUGGGUAAAAAAUAUUUGUAAAUGAAGAUAAACACCAGGAAUUCAUCUGCAAAACAUACAAACAGCUCAUAUAGUUCACUAUAUAAAAAAGUGCAAUAAAAAAAUGGGCCAAAGACCUAAUUGGAUAUUUCUCUGAAGAAGGCAUACAGAUGGGCAUUAAGCACAUGAGAAGAUGCAUUACUAACUAUAAGAGAAAAGCAAAUAAAAAGCCCAAUGAGGUAUCACCCCAUGCUUUUCAGAGUGGUCAUCUCAAAAAAUCUCCAACAGUCUAUACUGCAAAGGUUGUGGAGGGAAGAAAACCCUCCUGCACUCUUAUUGGGAAUUUAAAGCAGUUCAUGCACUAAGGAGAAUAGUAUAAAGGGCUUUUAAACAACAGAUCAUAGAAAUAAAUGGGACCCAGCACCCUCAUAUCUAGGCAUAGAUCUGGAGAAAACCAAAAAUUUAAAAGACACUUGCACCCUUACCAUCACGGUGGCACUAGGUACCAUAACUGAGACAUGGCAGCAGUCUAUUUGUAGGAGGACAGAUGAAUGGAUAAAGAAGAUGGGGUACAUAUACACAAUGAAAUAUUGCUCAGUCAUGAAGAAUGAAAAAAAUGCCAUGUCCAGCCACAGGGAAGAAAGUAGGCAUAAUUGUACUAAGGGAAGCAAGGGAGACAGGGAAAGAAAAGUAUCAUGUGGUAUCACUUCUAUGUGGACUCUACAGAUGGAUCCAUAUAAACUUCUUUACCAAAGAGAGAUAGCUUUAUAGAUUUAGAAAUUUAUGGUUACCAAAUAAGAAAGGUGA
Molecule: long non-coding RNA, 1066 nt
Organism: Bos taurus (domestic cattle)
Lineage: Eukaryota; Metazoa; Chordata; Mammalia; Artiodactyla; Bovidae
Source: Ensembl